RNAcentral lists this unclassified non-coding RNA (662 nucleotides) under Hevea brasiliensis (rubber tree). Lineage: Eukaryota; Viridiplantae; Streptophyta; Magnoliopsida; Malpighiales; Euphorbiaceae. The record is from RNAcentral.
AAAAAAAAACACCCAAAGGAUGAACCCAGCCCAAUACAUUGCUCUAGAGAAAUCUCCAGAAGCCGUCACCAAAGAAAACUUUCGGCGAAACUCCUCCAGGGUUUUGCUGCAACCCGCCACCGGUGGAAAAGAAGGAAACACCGCAUAAAGUGCCUACCCACAUCCAACAGCACCGCAUCACAGCAGAACAAAAGCCAAAAUACCGAAGCCUCAGUCAAGCCAAGAACACAAAGGAAACAGUACAGACAAACCCAGCAAUCCAAGAAGAGCACUCUAAUAGCCAUAUCGUUACCCCCUUUGCCGCCUGAGAAGACAACGAGCUCUUCCUUCUACCGCACAUCCUGCACUGUAAACAACAUUGAGGCUCUACCAAACAAGGAUAGCUGAACCAAGCUUAUGAUAUGGGGCGCUGGAUGAUAACUGGUAACUAACACCUACAACCUUUUUAACCCCGGCCCGGUAACCAUCGUCGGAAACCGCUCAUUACUCCACCUCUUUGCUCCGGCCAAGAUCACCCUCAUAACCAACAUCGAACCAUAGAUCUACAAAAGAACCCUCACAAGAAGCACAAAGAUAUGAAGCCAAACCCAAAAAAUAUAUGCACUCCAACCUAGAGGUAGGGAGGGACCACCUACACUCUGGGUCUGGGGUAGGGAAGAGCG